This 583-nucleotide ribosomal RNA is filed under the name uncultured bacterium. Its description in RNAcentral is "bacterial SSU rRNA". It matches the Rfam family "Bacterial small subunit ribosomal RNA", at positions 338 to 916 of the family's 1533-position model. The record is from RNAcentral.
CCUACGGGAGGCAGCAGUAGGGAAUAUUGCGCAAUGGAGGAAUCUCUGACGCAGCAAUGCCACGUGAGUGAGGAAGGUCUUCGGAUUGUAAAGCUCUGUCCUAUAGGAAGAACCGGCCAUAGUAACGUAUGGUCCUGACGGUACUAUAGAAGAAAGCACCGGCUAACUCCGUGCCAGCAGCCGCGGUAAUACGGAGGGUGCAAGCGUUGUUCGGAUUUACUGGGCGUAAAGCGCGCGCAGGCGGACUGACAAGUCAGAUGUGAAAUCUCGGGGCUUAACCCCGAAACUGCGUCUGAAACUGUUAGUCUAGAGUCUCACAGGGGGCAGGGGAAUUUCACGUGUAGGGGUAAAAUCCGUAGAGAUGUGAAGGAACACCGGUGGCGAAGGCGCCUGCCUGGAUGAGUACUGACGCUGAGGCGCGAAAGCGUGGGGAGCAAACAGGAUUAGAUACCCUGGUAGUCCACGCCGUAAACGAUGAGUACUAGUUAUUAGAGGUAUUGACUCCUUUAGUGACGCAGCUAACGCAUUAAGUACUCCGCCUGGGAAGUACGGUCGCAAGACUAAAACUCAAAGGAAUUGACGG